UCAAACCAUCAUAUCUUUCCACUAUGAGCUCCGAUCGUCAUGCCGUUUGCGACUAUGCAACCACCGCGUCGAGCUCCACGAAUCUAUCGGAACAAUUUUAUUGGACUCGAUUAGUUUGAGGAAAACAUUCACUCUUUCUUAUAUGAUACUUAGGUAUACAUGUAUAUUGGAGUUUGAUUUGUGGGUAUUGGAAGCUUGAUUGGAAGCUUGGGAAGCUGAAUUGUGGUAAGGAAGGCUUGUGAGCUUGCCUUGAAGGUUGCCUUGGUUAAUACGUAAAAAUCGGCUAAGGUAUAAUUUAGGUUUUUCGUAUUUAAUAUAUAAUGUCUUGUGAAAAUUCGGGUUAGAUGACCAUAAGAUAGAAAUGAAUGCAUGUGUAUGUUAAAUUGUUUAGUGCCUUGGAAAUAAUUGUGAACUAAGUUGGGAGUUGAUUGUUGUUUGAUAUUAGGGAUGAGGUAUAGAAUAUUAUAUGAUGCUUUAAUGAUGACUGGUAAGGAGUUAAAAUUGAAUAUGUGUAUAUGAUGAAUGGUUGAUGAAUUUGUUAGUUAGUUGAGGAAGGUUAUGUUUGAAAUGGUGUAAUAUCGAGGAAUGGCUGAUUAGGGGGAUGGUGGUGCUAUAAAUGGUUUAUUGUGGUGCUAUUGUAUGAGUAGAAUGUGGUAUUGAAUUUGACUUUUUUGGUAAAAAAAAAGGUUUGAGGAUUUUUGUGAAAAAAUUGAUUUUUGGCCAAAUUUCGGUGAAUCAUAACUUGGCUUUCGGACCUCCAAAUUAUUUCAAACUUAUUUCAAAUGAAAAUUGAAUUCAUGAGGUUUACGACGUUCGAAGAACGGAUGAAAAAUAUUUUAAAACGAAAAAGUUAUGCGCGUCGGAAGUUCGGAG
Molecule: long non-coding RNA, 873 nt
Organism: Arachis duranensis
Lineage: Eukaryota; Viridiplantae; Streptophyta; Magnoliopsida; Fabales; Fabaceae
Exons: 3
Source: RefSeq, a predicted model, not a curated record